GCCUACAUAAAACGUAGAUCGAAGAGACCGGGACAAGUCUUCGGAGAACCGUCUUGGCUCUCGGUACUUCGUUGGUUCCGACUGAUUGCAGACUUUGCUUCUACUCUUUUUCUCUUGGAACAUCCAGAAUGGGCAGCUGUCGACUUUUGAUAUUGGCAAUGAUGGUGUGUUCCGUGUUGUCUUCCACCCAAGUCCACUACCGAACAGCUCGACAAACAUCUUCGGAGAUAAUAUGUCACAACUGGUGUGGCGAACCUCCUAAUCUGGAGUGCUGUGAUCCGGUGACUCGUUGUGACCAUUGGUGUGGUAUCCCUCCCGAUCUCUAUUGCUGUGACGCCACCAUAGGGAAGUGACCCGUUAACAGCCAAAUUCCCGUAGCAGACUGAAGCCUUUUGGCCUCCUCCAGUACUGGAUGCUUUUCUACAUAGGACGAAAACUCAGUGGAAAUGCAAUCUGAAAAAAAUGUAAAUAUUUGUAAUUUCAGCCUCUGAUGUCGACGACGUUUUCUCUGGCUGCCAAAACUACAUGAAUUGUACUUGUAUGCAAUAAAGGACACACGGAUAGCAAAUCUGUUGAUGUGGGUACGUUGUCUGCUCGGGAACUUUGGGCGGCUAUAAGUGAAACGUCGUCACUAAAAGAUCAAAUAAUUGAAUAAAAGUAAAUUUUAUCAUGAGAAGGAAAAAACUUGCUGUUACAUAAGAUGGUGUCAUUAACCUGUCUGAUUCAUAUCUUCUAAGUGGCAUUGAUUCAGUAAUAAGAUGCAUUUACUACAACCCGGUAAUCUCCUUUAAGGAAAUAAGAACAGAAUGUGGUAGACAUUUAGGGAAGUUGGCGUUACUGAAAUGUCUUUGCCAUCACAAAGGUCUGUUGCAAAAGAGGUUUGUUUACCAGUCAAGAUGUACUUAUCAAUGGAUGCGAAAGCAGUUGCAGAUAAUCUUAUUCUUGAACCGAAUCGAAUAUUGAAUUUAGGCCAAAGGCCAAGUACUGGGACCUUUCAGGUCACUCAGCGCUGAAAAGGAAAUUGACAGUAAAAGGUUUGAAAGGUGUAACGGGAGGAAAACCUCUCAGUUCACUAGGAAUCAAUUGUUAGGAGAGGGUGGAAAGUAAGAUAGAAGAAAUAAUAUGAAUGGAGGUACAGUAAAAGGAAAGAAAGGGGUUGCAGCUGGGGGUCGAAGGCAUGCUGCAAAGAAUCUUAAGUAAUGCCUACAGUGCACUUCAUGAGGUGCAUUGAUGCACUACCUCCCUACGAGAGAUAAUCUUAUUCAUUACGUUUUAACGUUGGAGUCAUCUGAUGCUGUUUUCAGGAAUUAAAAAUUAUACAUGAACUCUGAUAGAAAGGAAUGACAUUUUUAUGAUCUUUGUCAAGUUAUUGGAUUCCAAGCAAUGUCAAUUUUACGAGGUUAUUGUAGCUCAUAUCCAAAGAAGAACACGUUUGAGUACCAUUUUACUAAAAGGUUCUUUCAACUUCUCGGCUAACUACAUUAAAUUUGGACAACUUUCAAGUUAAGGUUCGAAUUUGGUUUAAAGUAUGUAUUUCCAAUUUACCAGUGACAUUUUUUUUUUUUUCAACUUCUGUAACCUUCUGUUCUUCAGCCAGCCGUUGUUCAAAAUCUUGAUUAAGUAGUCCACCAUUAUGUUAUUAUGGAUGUUUGUAAUGAAAGGAGACAUUUAUUGUCUUUAUAAAUGGAAAAAUAAAUGAUUUCUUAUUUUCGUUAGCCCAUGUAUUUUUUUUUUUAUUCUAACACGAUUUAUAAUAAUAAAAGAAAACAGCAA
Molecule: long non-coding RNA, 1773 nt
Organism: Macrobrachium nipponense
Lineage: Eukaryota; Metazoa; Arthropoda; Malacostraca; Decapoda; Palaemonidae
Exons: 5
Source: RefSeq, a predicted model, not a curated record